This 1996-nucleotide small RNA is filed under the name Oryza sativa Japonica Group (Japanese rice). RNAcentral describes it as "sRNA Os12g0136500". Lineage: Eukaryota; Viridiplantae; Streptophyta; Magnoliopsida; Poales; Poaceae. The record is from RNAcentral.
GUUGAGGAUGGUCCCAUGGCUUCCUUCCUCUUCUCGCGCGGUCAUUCUUCCCCUUUUCCCCUCCGCCGCGGGUGGGCUGGUAAGUCGGUAGGUAAGGGAUCAAUCGGUUUCGAUCUCACCUCGUUCGCUGCCGUUUGUUGAUUGAUGAUCAGGCGCACCAACUAGCCGGAUAGAUUGCCCGCUUGCUCGUCCUUUUCUGGUGCUUGAUCCGUUCGGUUUGGGGGGGGUCUAGUUUCGGCGAUUUGCUUCUGCUGUUGUGUUAGUUUUCUGAACACAGUAUCUCUUUCGAUUGGUUUAUGGCUAAUUGUGGUUUGCUGUGUUGGGUACAAUAUGCGCGAUCGGUUGGUUUGUGUCAAUUCAUGUUUGGUGCGAUGGAUUUGUCAUGGAUAUUUUGGGCUUGAUCAAAGGCUAGAUGAACUGAAGUUUUCGCUCUGAAUUGGUCAUGGUUAGGAUUGCUCACUGGCCUCAGAUUAUUGUUCGGUUCCUUUCAAGUUCGUGAUGCUUGGUUUUGUUUGAGACCGUUCGUCUGCUUGCAGCUAUGCAGUUUUUCCUUCGGAUCUAGUAAUUUUUAUGAUAAGGUCAAGUCAUAUCAGAAAAUUUAAGGUCUGUUCAGAGCUUUCAAAUCACCGGCUUUAACUUGUUCAAUUUCGGCAAGACAUACUCUUCAGAUUAUCUUGAAUAUGGUUGUGUGUCAUCUUAACCGGACCAUGUAUUGCUUUUUGGCUUUGAUAAAAAUCGUCACUAUGUGCUAGGGCGUUGGAAUGAUUCUUCUGUGUCAGUUCUUAGUUAAAGUUUAACAUCAGGAUUUCUCGCGAGGAUUUAAGGAGCUCUUUUUGACCGCCUUCCCUGUGGAUUAAUUUAUCCUAGUACAGGAACUACAGAUUACUUGCUGCUUGACCUGCUCAGUUUGAGGUACAGAUCUCGUGAUUUCCCUGUUUACUGGUGUUAGUUUUAGGAACCUUGAUGCUUUGGUUUAGGGCUAUGGUUAAUUGCAAUUUAUUGAAAUUUCAAUAUGUCAAUAUUGUGCAGUUGGUUUGCUUCCAUUACAAGCAACUGUCCAAGAACAUUUUAUUUGUAAUACGAACAUUUAUAAACCAGAGAAAUUGAAGCUUGUUGUAUGGGAUUGGUCAUUGUUAGGAAUAGUCUUUGGUGUAUAAGAUGUUUUCUCCAUUCCAUUCAAGACUGCUGCUACGCUUUUGGGUCAAAAUAACAAGUGAGAUUGAUAUUAUUUGGAGGCCAUUUGUCUGCUUGGAAAACUCUGGUUAUUUAAGUCCAUCCUGCUGCGCUUUUAUGGUUGUCUUGUCAGAACAUAGACAUGGCCAUAGUUCUCCGAGAAUUUGACGUUAACUUGUUUACUUCCGGAAAAGCUAUAUCAGUCAGUUAUUAACUUGCUGUGAGGGUGGUUAUGUAGUAACUAAGAAGACACAUCCUAAAGUUUCUGUGGUAGACGAUUCAUUUGGCAGUUCUUUCGAACAAUAUUACAAGGUUGUGAAGGUGAUUCUGAAAUCUUUUGACUACUUUGGGUGAAAUUAAUUUGAAGAUUUAUUUCAAGAACAUUUAUGGACCUCAACAUUAUAAAGCCAUCUGUUUGAAGUUUCUUCUGAGUAGAAACAAUUGCUUUAUGAACCAUGGAGGAGUUCUCAGUAGCAGUAUUUGAUUUCUACUUGGUCCAGCUUGCAUCUCCAGUAGUAUCCUUUACAUAUGGGCUUGUACUGUUCCAUAACUAGCUAGGAUAUGGGUUCAUUUCAACAUAUGAUUGGCCCUCUUGUAUGUUGGUUUGGUGUCAUCUUGUAAUUUGUGUGUUCAUUAAGCUUCCCUCUGAUGUUGGAAAUUGUAAUUAUCAAAUGAUAUAGACGUCCAUAUACUGAUUUAGUCUGUAUAAUAGUUGUAACAUGGUAAUUUGUUUUGAUAAUCCUGAGUUGUAACAUGGUAAUUUUGUCCAUAUACUGAUUUAGUCUGUAUAGAAUGAAACUCUAUGGCUCUUGUGGCAUUGUUC